UGCGUAGGUGGCUGAGCAAGUCGUAGAUGAAAUCCCCGGGCUUAACUCGGGAACUGUCUCCGAAACUGCUCAGCUUGAGGAUGGUUGAGGAAAGCGGAAUUCCCGGUGGAGCGGUGAAAUGCGUAGAUAUCGGGAGGAACACCAGAGGCGAAGGCGGCUUUCUGGGCCAUUCCUGACACUGAUGCACGAAAGCUAGGGGAGCGAACG
RNAcentral lists this ribosomal RNA (207 nucleotides) under uncultured bacterium. RNAcentral's name for it is "partial 16S ribosomal RNA". It matches the Rfam family "Bacterial small subunit ribosomal RNA", at positions 568 to 774 of the family's 1533-position model. The record is from RNAcentral.